This 535-nucleotide ribosomal RNA is filed under the name Pseudoalteromonas sp. RNAcentral's name for it is "bacterial SSU rRNA". It matches the Rfam family "Bacterial small subunit ribosomal RNA", at positions 115 to 651 of the family's 1533-position model. The record is from RNAcentral. Lineage: Bacteria; Pseudomonadati; Pseudomonadota; Gammaproteobacteria; Alteromonadales; Pseudoalteromonadaceae.
GCUUGGGAACAUGCCUUGAGGUGGGGGACAACAGUUGGAAACGACUGCUAAUACCGCAUAAUGUCUACGGACCAAAGGGGGCUUCGGCUCUCGCCUUUAGAUUGGCCCAAGUGGGAUUAGCUAGUUGGUGAGGUAAUGGCUCACCAAGGCGACGAUCCCUAGCUGGUUUGAGAGGAUGAUCAGCCACACUGGGACUGAGACACGGCCCAGACUCCUACGGGAGGCAGCAGUGGGGAAUAUUGCACAAUGGGCGCAAGCCUGAUGCAGCCAUGCCGCGUGUGUGAAGAAGGCCUUCGGGUUGUAAAGCACUUUCAGUCAGGAGGAAAGCGUGGUGGUUAAUACCCGUCAUGUGUGACGUUACUGACAGAAGAAGCACCGGCUAACUCCGUGCCAGCAGCCGCGGUAAUACGGAGGGUGCGAGCGUUAAUCGGAAUUACUGGGCGUAAAGCGUACGCAGGCGGUUUGUUUAAGCGAGAUGUGAAAGCCCCGGGCUCAACCUGGGAACUGCAUUUCGAACUGGCAAACUAGAGUGUGA